This is a long non-coding RNA of Mandrillus leucophaeus (drill), 548 nucleotides long. RefSeq lists it as uncharacterized. The transcript is spliced from 2 exons. NCBI's taxonomy places the organism in Eukaryota, Metazoa, Chordata, Mammalia, Primates, Cercopithecidae. The record is from RefSeq and is a predicted model, not a curated record.
AGGUUUCUCUCCAAGUCAUGAUCUGUUCUGCCCAGGAUGCUCCCCUGACACACACACUGAAAAACUGAGCACCUGGAGAGCAACACCAAAAUCCCACGGCCAAUAAUGGGCAACCCAAUCAGGACAACAUUCAGCAAAGCCAUUCUUGCUGGAGAAGGAACAGCACAAAACAGCUGGAAGGAAAUUGUGGCAUGCAUGAGAGAUAACUUGUCUGUGUUUGCAGUCUACUGAGAUCCCCGCUGCAAGAAGAGGCAGGAUUUUCACUUGCUUCUUGACCCAUCUCUGUUGUCCAGAAUCUAGGACUGGUGACAAGAGAAGCGGACGUGAUCUGCACAAGCUGGUGCAGCUGGGUCGGGAGUUGCUCUUCCGGGACAGGUGGGGAAGGGUGCUGGCGGGGAGGGAGGAGGAGAGAGGUUUUAGGGGAGGAGUGCUGAGCAGUCAGGAACCUGUAAGGUCACAUUUCUUUCAGGUAUUCUUUCUAGGUGUACUGAAUGGGAACAUUGUCUGUCAUCCCUAGACUGCCUUAAAGACCUAAACUGCUUCCAUUU